RNAcentral lists this transfer RNA (75 nucleotides) under Patescibacteria group bacterium. Its description in RNAcentral is "tRNA-Thr". It matches the Rfam family "tRNA". Rfam says of the family: Transfer RNA (tRNA) molecules are approximately 80 nucleotides in length. Their secondary structure includes four short double-helical elements and three loops (D, anti-codon, and T loops). The record is from RNAcentral.
GCCGAUGUAGCUCAAUGGCAGAGCAACGGUUUUGUAAACCGUAGGUUGGAGGUUCGAAUCCUCUCAUCGGCUCCA